UGGCGACCGGCGCACGGGUGAGUAACGCGUAUGCAACCUGCCCGAUACCGGGGUAUAGCCCAUGGAAACGUGGAUUAACACCCCAUAGUACUUUUAUCCUGCCUGGGAUGUGAGUUAAAUGUUCAAGGUAUCGGAUGGGCAUGCGUCCUAUUAGUUAGUUGGCGGGGUAACAGCCCACCAAGACGAUGAUAGGUAGGGGUUCUGAGAGGAGGGUCCCCCACAUUGGAACUGAGACACGGUCCAA
RNAcentral lists this ribosomal RNA (244 nucleotides) under uncultured bacterium. Its description in RNAcentral is "partial 16S ribosomal RNA". It matches the Rfam family "Bacterial small subunit ribosomal RNA", at positions 89 to 334 of the family's 1533-position model. The record is from RNAcentral.